Molecule: small nucleolar RNA, 131 nt
Filed under: Castor canadensis (American beaver)
Lineage: Eukaryota; Metazoa; Chordata; Mammalia; Rodentia; Castoridae
Description: Small nucleolar RNA SNORA51 (ENSCCNG00000012631.1)
Rfam family: Small nucleolar RNA SNORA51
About the family: ACA51 is a member of the H/ACA class of snoRNA that guide the sites of modification of uridines to pseudouridines.
Source: Rfam by way of RNAcentral
GGCUUCCUAGUGUUCACCUCAGGUUCUGUACUUAUAUUGAUUGUUUAGAAAUUGGAGGCAAAGUAAACAUAUGCUAUGUACACCUCAACCCAGGUUGUGCCUGGUUUGCAUUGUGAAUUGGUGAAAAAAAU